AAUGGAAGGAGAUGAGAGGGACAACAAGAAGACAUGAGGCUACUAUACCAGGGGUGGUGUCUCGUCAUGUGUGUCUUCAGUACUCUUGGGGAGUGGGAUGCGGAAGGAAUUCUAGGGUGCGUUUGGUUGGAGAGCAAGGUAGGAUGGAAUGGUUCCAUUCUACUUGCUCCAUCAUUGUCGCAUUGCUUGUGUUGCUCUUCUCCAUCAGCAUGACGAAGGGCGUCAAUAGAGAGUACCAGUUUGAUGUGCAAAUGACAUACUUAACGUGGCUGUGCAGCAGCAAGAGCGUCGUGAUGGUGAACGGGCAGUUCCAGGGGCCGACAGUGUUUGCUAGAGAGGUGCAGUGAUCAUAGUGGCAGCUCCACGAAACCGCUAUAACGCAGCUCCACAAAACCGCUAUAAUGCCGCUAUAGCACCGCUAUUUAAAACGCUGAUUUCUAUGUUUGGUUUGACCUCUGUUAGCCACCGUUUUGUGGGGACUGUCUAUCAGUCAAUCAAGACCCUCAUUUGUCUUCCCC
Molecule: long non-coding RNA, 518 nt
Organism: Panicum virgatum (switchgrass)
Lineage: Eukaryota; Viridiplantae; Streptophyta; Magnoliopsida; Poales; Poaceae
Exons: 2
Source: RefSeq, a predicted model, not a curated record